This is a non-coding RNA of Dermacentor albipictus, 425 nucleotides long. The record is from RefSeq and is a predicted model, not a curated record. Lineage: Eukaryota; Metazoa; Arthropoda; Arachnida; Ixodida; Ixodidae.
GCUCGGAAAAUUCCAAAAAGGAAUUUACGAACUGCGGGUCCCACUACUCCACCUGGGCGUAUGCACGAUCAACAACUGCAACGAGAAGGAGCUACAAGAGCUCAUCGGAGCAGUGCUUCCUCCUUCCAUAGAUGUCACCAUCUCGAAUUGCGUAACAUCUUUGCCUCCCGCCAUGACAAAAGGGCAGGUUGCUAUUUUAUCGUUUCUUGGCAUUUUGGUGUUGUUGCUUGUGGUUGGAACACUUCUGGAUAUAUGCAGCCCUGCAGGGCAGGAUAUGAAAAGAAAGAAGCAGAAUUGCUUGCUGUCUGCUUUGACGUCAUUUUCUGUAGCGUCGAAUACGAACAUGAUACUUCACGUAGCUAAAGACAAAGGUUCCGACGCCUACAGGCUGCGCUUCCUACACGGCAUCCGCUUCUUGAGCAUCG